RNAcentral lists this ribosomal RNA (433 nucleotides) under uncultured bacterium. RNAcentral describes it as "partial 16S ribosomal RNA". It matches the Rfam family "Bacterial small subunit ribosomal RNA", at positions 29 to 507 of the family's 1533-position model. The record is from RNAcentral.
AACGAACGCUGGCGGCAUGCCUAACACAUGCGAGUCGAACGAGACCUUCGGGUCUAGUGGCGCACGGGUGCGUAACGCGUGGGAACCUGCCCUUAGGUUCGGAAUAACUCCCCGAAAGGGGUGCUAAUACCGGAUAAUGUCUUCGGACCAAAGAUUUAUCGCCUUUGGAUGGGCCCGCGUUGGAUUAGCUAGUUGGUAGGGUAAAAGCCUACCAAGGCGACGAUCCAUAGCUGGUCUGAGAGGAUGAUCAGCCACACUGGGACUGAGACACGGCUCAGACUCCUACGGGAGGCAGCAGUGGGGAAUAUUGGACAAUGGGCGAAAGCCUGAUCCAGCAAUGCCGCGUGAGUGAUGAAGGCCUUAGGGUUGUAAAGCUCUUUUACCCGGGAUGAUAAUGACAGUACCGGGAGAAUAAGCUCCGGCUAACUCCGUG